This 461-nucleotide long non-coding RNA is filed under the name Gallus gallus (chicken). The record is from RNAcentral. Lineage: Eukaryota; Metazoa; Chordata; Aves; Galliformes; Phasianidae.
GGCAGGAGCAGCGAGGCCGGUCUGGGGCAGCGAGAGGGUGCAGGUCGGGGAGGAAGCAGCAGGUCUCAGGUAGCAGGCCCAGGGAAGUCCGUCAGCAAACGGUCCGUAGAGGAGGAUCGGAAGGCAGGAAGCUCGUGUCGUGGUGAGAGAUCAGUCUCCACGUAGAGAUCCGUCUACACGUUGCGGUGAGAGAUCAGUUGGCAGAGAGAACCCCUCAAGUCUGUCGUGGUGAGAGAUAAGCCUCUCCCGUUGCCGUGGUUGUGGUGAAGGAUCAGCUUCCACCGUUGUGGUUGUUGGACCCUCUUUUAUCCUCCAUUUUCUGCUGCCUACGUGACAUUCCUGGGGGCUUGAGCAAGAGUCCUGUGCAUACCUCCUGAGAUGGCCAUUUUCCUUGAGAUAAGUCCACACAAAAAGACCGUUUCCCGGCCAUUAGCGGCAGCUUAUCUCUCUCUCGUUGCCCC